Molecule: long non-coding RNA, 420 nt
Organism: Heterocephalus glaber (naked mole-rat)
Lineage: Eukaryota; Metazoa; Chordata; Mammalia; Rodentia; Bathyergidae
Source: RefSeq, a predicted model, not a curated record
AAGGUCUGAUUUUUACUUUCCAACUUGUCCGGUGUGUUCCCUCCCGGGUGUUCUUCACUACAGUCAGCUCCUCAGAGCAUUUGGGCGGAAUAUUGAUCCCCAGGCCUCCUGCAUGUCAGGCAAAUGCUUCACAACUGAGCUAUACACCCAGUUGUAAUACUUUUAUUUCUUAUUUGCAUUUGUCAUUAUACAUCUUGCUCCAACUGAGGAAACUGAAGAACCAAUCUAUAUCCAUGGCUCCUGGAGGAUUCUGUGGAUGUGGCAUUGCAACUGUGAAGAUGACCUUGAGACUGGAACUCAACUGCACCAUGAGUAUGCAGAUUGUGGACAAUUAUUUCUUCAGUGUUCCUUCAUCAGAAAUUUAAGCAUAUCUUGAGGAUAGGUAUACUUCACUAGAGGGAAAUACAAGUUUUGAAAGCA